Molecule: ribosomal RNA, 253 nt
Filed under: uncultured bacterium
Lineage: Bacteria
Description: partial 16S ribosomal RNA
Rfam family: Bacterial small subunit ribosomal RNA
Source: RNAcentral
UACGAAGGGUGCAAGCGUUACUCGGAAUUACUGGGCGUAAGGCGUGCGUAGGUGGUUUGUUAAGUCUGUUGUGAAAGCCCUGGGCUCAACCUGGGAAUUGCAUUGGAUACUGGCAGGCUAGAGUGCGGUAGAGGAUGGCGGAAUUCCUGGUGUAGCGGUGAAAUGCGCAGAUAUCAGGAGGAACACCGAUGGCGAAGGCAGGUCUCUGGGCAUUAACUGACGCUGAGGAGCGAAAGCAUGGGGAGCGAACAGG